GAUGAACGCUAGCGGGAGGCCUAACACAUGCAAGCCGAGCGGUAUGGGUAGCUUGCUACCCAGAGAGCGGCGUACGGGUGCGUAACACGUGUGCAACCUGCCCCUAUCCGGGGGAUAGCCCUCCGAAAGGAGGAUUAAUACCCCAUAAUAUAUCUGGUGGCAUCACUAGAUAUUGAAAACCCCGGUGGAUAGGGAUGGGCACGCGCAAGAUUAGAUAGUUGGCGGGGUAACGGCCCACCAAGUCGAUGAUCUUUAGGGGUCCUGAGAGGGAGAUCCCCCACAAUGGUACUGAGACACGGACCAGACUCCUACGGGAGGCAGCAGUGAGGACUAUUGGACAAGGGGUGGAAGCCUGAUCCAGCCAUCCCGCGUGAGGGACGACGGCCCUAGGGGUUGUAAACCUCUUUUGUACGGGGAUAAACCUAUCUACGUGUAGAUAGCUGAAGGUACCGUACGAAUAAGCACCGGCUAACUCCGUG
RNAcentral lists this ribosomal RNA (479 nucleotides) under uncultured bacterium. Its description in RNAcentral is "partial 16S ribosomal RNA". It matches the Rfam family "Bacterial small subunit ribosomal RNA", at positions 28 to 507 of the family's 1533-position model. The record is from RNAcentral.